RNAcentral lists this ribosomal RNA (1482 nucleotides) under Ramsaria avicennae. RNAcentral describes it as "16S ribosomal RNA". It matches the Rfam family "Bacterial small subunit ribosomal RNA". The record is from RNAcentral. Lineage: Bacteria; Bacillati; Cyanobacteriota; Cyanophyceae; Coleofasciculales; Wilmottiaceae.
UUUGAUCCUGGCUCAGGAUGAACGCUGGCGGUCUGCUUAACACAUGCAAGUCGAACGGGGGUAGAAAUACCCUAGUGGCGGACGGGUGAGUAACGCGUGAGAAUCUGCCUUCAGGUUCGGGACAACCACUGGAAACGGUGGCUAAUACCGGAUAGGCUUCACGGUGAAAGAUUUAUCGCCUGAAGAGGAGCUCGCGUCUGAUUAGCUAGUUGGUAGGGUAAAAGCCUACCAAGGCGACGAUCAGUAGCUGGUCUGAGAGGAUGAUCAGCCACACUGGGACUGAGACACGGCCCAGACUCCUACGGGAGGCAGCAGUGGGGAAUUUUCCGCAAUGGGCGAAAGCCUGACGGAGCAAGACCGCGUGAGGGAGGAAGGCUCUUGGGUUGUAAACCUCUUUUCUCAGGGAAGAAGAAAGUGACGGUACCUGAGGAAUCAGCCUCGGCUAACUCCGUGCCAGCAGCCGCGGUAAUACGGAGGAGGCAAGCGUUAUCCGGAAUUAUUGGGCGUAAAGCGUCCGCAGGUGGCUUGCUCAAGUCUGCUGUCAAAGACCGGGGCUUAACUCCGGAAAGGCAGUGGAAACUGACAAGCUAGAGGGCUCUAGGGGUAGAGGGAAUUCCCGGUGUAGCGGUGAAAUGCGUAGAGAUCGGGAAGAACAUCGGUGGCGAAAGCGCUCUACUGGAGAGCAACUGACACUCACAGGACGAAAGCUAGGGGAGCGAAUGGGAUUAGAUACCCCAGUAGUCCUAGCCGUAAACGAUGGAUACUAGGCGUGGCUCGUAUCGACCCGAGCCGUGCCGUAGCUAACGCGUUAAGUAUCCCGCCUGGGGAGUACGCACGCAAGUGUGAAACUCAAAGGAAUUGACGGGGGCCCGCACAAGCGGUGGAGUAUGUGGUUUAAUUCGAUGCAACGCGAAGAACCUUACCAGGGCUUGACAUGUCCGGAACCCUGCUGAAAGGUGGGGGUGCCUUCGGGAGCCGGAACACAGGUGGUGCAUGGCUGUCGUCAGCUCGUGUCGUGAGAUGUUGGGUUAAGUCCCGCAACGAGCGCAACCCUCGUUCUUAGUUGCCAGCAUUAAGUUGGGCACUCUAGGGAGACUGCCGGUGACAAACCGGAGGAAGGUGGGGAUGACGUCAAGUCAGCAUGCCCCUUACGUCCUGGGCUACACACGUACUACAAUGCGACGGACAAAGGGCAGCGAGCGAGCGAUCGUCAGCUAAUCCCAUAAACCGUGGCUCAGUUCAGAUCGCAGGCUGCAACUCGCCUGCGUGAAGGAGGAAUCGCUAGUAAUUGCAGGUCAGCAUACUGCAGUGAAUCCGUUCCCGGGCCUUGUACACACCGCCCGUCACACCAUGGGAGCUGGUUUUGCCCGAAGUCGUUACCCUAACCCGCAAGGGAAGGGGACGCCGAAGGCAGGGCUAGUGACUGGGGUGAAGUCGUAACAAGGUAGCCGUACCGGAAGGUGUGGCUGGAUCACCUCCUUU